AGAGUUUGUCGGCAUGGUGACU
This 22-nucleotide microRNA is filed under the name Strongyloides ratti. RNAcentral describes it as "str-miR-40-5p". Its record names the gene str-miR-40-5p. Lineage: Eukaryota; Metazoa; Nematoda; Chromadorea; Rhabditida; Strongyloididae. The record is from miRBase by way of RNAcentral.